RNAcentral lists this ribosomal RNA (477 nucleotides) under uncultured bacterium. Its description in RNAcentral is "partial 16S ribosomal RNA". It matches the Rfam family "Bacterial small subunit ribosomal RNA", at positions 28 to 523 of the family's 1533-position model. The record is from RNAcentral.
GACGAACGCUGGCGGCGUGCUUAACACAUGCAAGUCGAACGGUAAGGCCCUUCGGGGUACACGAGUGGCGAACGGGUGAGUAACACGUGGGUGAUCUGCCCUGCACUUCGGGAUAAGCCUGGGAAACUGGGUCUAAUACCGGAUAGGACCACUGCCUGCAUGGGUGGUGGUGGAAAGCUUUUGCGGUGUGGGAUGGGCCCGCGGCCUAUCAGCUUGUUGGUGGGGUGAUGGCCUACCAAGGCGACGACGGGUAGCCGGCCUGAGAGGGUGACCGGCCAUACUGGGACUGAGAUACGGCCCAGACUCCUACGGGAGGCAGCAGUGGGGAAUAUUGCACAAUGGGCGCAAGCCUGAUGCAGCGACGCCGCGUGAGGGAUGACGGCCUCGGGUUGUAAACCUCUUUCAGCACCGACGAAGCGCAAGUGACGGUAGGUGCAGAAGAAGGACCGGCCAACUACGUGCCAGCCGCCGCGGUAA